ACGGGAGGCCGCAGUGGGGAAUAUUGCACAAUGGGGGAAACCCUGAUGCAGCGACGCCGCGUGAGUGAAGAAGUAUUUCGGUAUGUAAAGCUCUAUCAGCAAGGAAGAAAAUGACGGUACUUGACUAAGAAGCCCCGGCUAACUGCGUGCCAGCAGCCGCGGUACUACGUAGGGUGCAAGCGUUAUCCGGAUUUCCUGGGUGUAAAGGGAGCGUAGACGGUAUGGCAAGUCUGAAGUGAAAUGCUGGGGCUCAACCCCAGAACUGCUUUGGAAACUGUCAAACUAGAGUGCAGGAGAGGUAAGUGGAAUUCCUAGUGUAGCGGUGAAAUGCGUAGAUAUUAGGAGGAACACCAGUGGCGAAGGCGGCUUACUGGACUGUAACUGACGUUGAGGCUCGAAAGCGUGGGGAGCAAACAGGAUUAGAUACCCUGGUA
This 434-nucleotide ribosomal RNA is filed under the name uncultured Lachnospiraceae bacterium. RNAcentral describes it as "partial 16S ribosomal RNA". It matches the Rfam family "Bacterial small subunit ribosomal RNA", at positions 341 to 792 of the family's 1533-position model. Lineage: Bacteria; Bacillati; Bacillota; Clostridia; Lachnospirales; Lachnospiraceae. The record is from RNAcentral.